Molecule: transfer RNA, 73 nt
Filed under: Grammoplites scaber (rough flathead)
Lineage: Eukaryota; Metazoa; Chordata; Actinopteri; Perciformes; Platycephalidae
Also listed under: 1 other name
Description: tRNA-Asp
Rfam family: tRNA
About the family: Transfer RNA (tRNA) molecules are approximately 80 nucleotides in length. Their secondary structure includes four short double-helical elements and three loops (D, anti-codon, and T loops).
Source: RNAcentral
AAGACACUAGUAAAACUGAGGAUUACAUUACCUUGUCAAGAUAAAGUUGUAGGUUUAAACCCUGCGUGUCUUA